This 468-nucleotide ribosomal RNA is filed under the name uncultured bacterium. RNAcentral's name for it is "partial 16S ribosomal RNA". It matches the Rfam family "Bacterial small subunit ribosomal RNA", at positions 28 to 507 of the family's 1533-position model. The record is from RNAcentral.
GACGAACGCUGGCGGCGUGCUUAACACAUGCAAGUCGAACGGAAAGACCCUGCUUUUGUGGGGUGCUCGAGUGGCGAACGGGUGAGUAACACGUGAGUAACCUGCCCUUGACUUUGGGAUAACUUCAGGAAACUGGGGCUAAUACCGGAUAGGAGCUCCUGCUGCAUGGUGGGGGUUGGAAAGUUUCGGCGGUUGGGGAUGGACUCGCGGCUUAUCAGCUUGUUGGUGGGGUAGUGGCUUAACAAGGCUUUGACGGGUAGCCGGCCUGAGAGGGUGACCGGCCACAUUGGGACUGAGAUACGGCCCAGACUCCUACGGGAGGCAGCAGUGGGGAAUAUUGCACAAUGGGCGGAAGCCUGAUGCAGCAACGCCGCGUGCGGGAUGACGGCCUUCGGGUUGUAAACCGCUUUCGCCUGUGACGAAGCGUUAGUGACGGUAACGGGUAAAGAAGCACCGGCUAACUACGUG